AGUUUAGGUACUUACUUUCAGCUUGUGCUUGGGUUAGCAGAUAGAAGGAUAAUUUCCUACCCUUGCACCCUUCCUUCUCUGGCUAUUACUCCAUCUUCUCUCCCAUCAGAAGGAUAUGUUCUAUAACGUGGCUGGACCAUAUGAUCCUGUGGCUUGCUGACAUGGGAGGCGGUCCUGCAACUCUCCUCCCCUUCUUCUGAACUCCAAAUGCUUCCUUUGUGCCAGUGCUGGUAUUCACAUUACCCCACAAUGAGCUGGUUUAAGAAGUCAAGUCAAUAGAAAACUAUCACAAGAAAUACUGUUUUUUAGGUCACUGUCUGACAUAGAGGAAGCUCUCUUACAUGGGGAAGCUCUCUCAGUUUGCAGUUCUUCAAGUUGCACACUGAUUUCUUUUCUUGUGACAGUCUUAAACCUUCUUCCCUGUCUGGUAGCAGUGUUUCCCUGACUGCUGGUCAGAAGAUGGAGACAGAUGUAAAGCUAUUAAGCUUCAGAGAAAAUUUUCUUUAAACAUCUCUACUAUUUGUUUUGGGAAGAGCAAUGAUCUCUGAGCAGCAUUACUGCUCUUCUAAGCCGUUCCUUCCGUAAUACUCAGCACAGUUAGUCUGGUCGUAUCAGUCAAAAAGACUCUUCAGCAAAUGCAUAGAUCUGAGCAGUUCCAUAACCCCCGCUGACCCUUAGCUUCUUUUCUGCCUAUUAGGUCCAGUACAUUUGCAUGAGGAAUAAAGGAAAUCCUAAUGGCAGGCUGGCACAUUAAUAGAUGGAAGCAGAUGGAACCUUUGAGAACUGCAGAACAGAAAAGGAAAAUAAUCCUAUUUCAGUGGAUUCAGGGUGUGUUAUGAACGUCCCAAGUCAAUUAAUAUCUGCGCAGAAAUGUUUCAUUUGGUAAGAAAACUUUCCAGAUGAAUGUUUAUUCAGAAGCUGCUUAUAAAAGUGGCUACUUGUAGGGACUGGAAAGAAGAGUGGAAGGAGACAGGGAGCAAUAGCGUUGUACCAAAAUAUAUAAAGAAAAAUUUAAAGCUUUUCAGUUAAAAAAAAUUGUAUAUUCAACUCUCAUUAGACACAGAUGUGCACAACAGACAGAGCAGUUAGAAACAAGUACAUUUUUACAAAGCUUUCUUUUCAUGGUUAAUUUCUACCAGCACUUUGGAAGGUAACCUACUAAAAUGAUGACCCUGUUUAUAAUAAAGGCGCAAAAUAUUGCUCUGUAGCAUAUUUUGAAAAUAAUAUAAAAAUAAUUUCUAUAUUACAAUUUAAACUUGGCUUGUAAAAUUCCAACAUAAUACAGCCUUAAGUCUACAAACAGAACAUACUUAGAAACACCUUUGUGGUUUUUUCCUCUCAUUUAUAACAAUAUAGUAUUUUUAGUCAUAUACACUGGAAAUUAAUGUGCAAAUUAAAAUCAAUAUUAGUGCCUGUUAUUGAAAUAAUUUAAAUUCUAUGCUGUAUACCAUUUGGUGAUCCUCUAUGUAAGCUGCCAUACCUUAAAAGAAAUACGCUUCAAGUACACUGACAGAGACUUAAAAUACACUAAGCUGAAAAGCCAUCUACAAUCAGCAUCAGUUAUUUUGCUUUACUGAACCUACGUUUAUUUGAGAUUAUUGUGGUUUCUAUCAACAUACGGGUUUCUAACUGUGCAAAAACAUUCCCAGUGUUAUGAAGACCUUACUCCCGUACUAGCUCAUAUUCUAUUCUCACAUCCAGCUUUCAAGCUGUGCGUCUGUGAAGCACCUGG
This 1732-nucleotide long non-coding RNA is filed under the name Cairina moschata (Muscovy duck). RNAcentral's name for it is "domestica (muscovy Duck (domestic type)) lncRNA (ENSCMMG00000015678.1)". Lineage: Eukaryota; Metazoa; Chordata; Aves; Anseriformes; Anatidae. The record is from RNAcentral.